Long non-coding RNA from Equus caballus (horse), 5921 nucleotides. The record is from Ensembl. NCBI's taxonomy places the organism in Eukaryota, Metazoa, Chordata, Mammalia, Perissodactyla, Equidae.
CCUGAAUCCCUUCUUACUAUUACAGUUGCAAAAUGGCGAUUUUCUGACGUCAUCCUUUCUUCACUGUUUCUAUGUUUAUUAGCCAGCCUUCUGCCAUAAAGAACACCUGCCUCUCCUUCCUUAUCUACAGCACUCGUUUGGUGUCUCACAGCCAGAACCUGGGCUCUCUGCUCACGGUCUCAUGAGGCUGGAAUCCAGGCAUCCCCAGGGCUGUGCUUCCCGCCUGGAGUCAGAGGUCCUCUCUCAAGCUCAUGCAGGCUGUUGGCUGAUUCAGUUCCGUGCGGGUAAAGACUGAGGUCUCUCUUUUCUUGCUGGUUGUCGACUGGGCCCGUUUUCAGCUCUCCUAGGAACCACUGCUGUCCCACAUGUGGUCCUCUGCAUGGUUGUUUGCUCCUUCAGGGUCAGCAGGAGACUCUCCCUUGUCUGCGCUGAUGAAGUCGUAUGCAGCGCAACCCGAGGACGGAAGAAACUCUCCCAUCACCUUGCUCAUAUUGAUGCGGGCUCGGGAGCCGAAGAGUUGAAAGAAAGAUAUCUUGGACUCUCAAGAUCUGGUAAUAGUGCUCCCUUAUUCAGAGAACAACAUGGGAACAGGACCCAUAGGCAGUGAGAGCUGCAGCGUGGGGACAGGGCCCAUGGGCAGUGAGAGCUGCAGCGUGGGGACAGGACCCAUGGGCAGUGAGAGCUGCAGCGUGGGGACAGGACAUGUGGGCAGUGAGAGCUGCAGCGUGGGGACAGGGCCCAGGGGCAGUGAGAGCUGCAGCGUGGGGACAGGGCCCAGGGGCAGUGAGAGCUGCAGCGUGGGGACAGGGCCCAUGGGCAGUGAGAGCUGCAGCGUGGGGACAGGGCCCAGGGGCAGUGAGAGCUGCAGCGUGGGGACAGGGCCCAGGGGCAGUGAGAGCUGCAGCGUGGGGACAGGACCCAUGGGCAGUGAGAGCUGCAGCGUGGGGACAGGGCCCAGGGGCAGUGAGAGCUGCAGCGUGGGGACAGGGCCCAUGGGCAGUGAGAGCUGCAGCGUGGGGACAGGGCCCAGGGGCAGUGAGAGCUGCAGCGUGGGGACAGGGCCCAGGGGCAGUAAUAGCUGCAGUGUGGGGAAAGAGCCCAUGGGCAAUGAGAGCUGCAGUGGGUUGAGGGCAGGGCUACAUUUAUAAGGCAUAGGCAUGUGAGUUAUUUCUUUACAAGACAAAGGAAAGAUCACGUGAAAAAAAAGGUCAUUAAAUGGUAUCAGUGCAGGUGGGGUCUGGUUAUCGGGUGGUUGUAUAACUUUGGCUACGAGUCAGGUCGGAUCAGGUCAGGACGUCCUGUACUUCCGGGAGGAUGACAGAGAUUGGUAUGGAGGCCAGGAGGCCUUGGGCUUUUCUCCCUGGGCCAGCCUUGAUCCUCAUCAAUAUGAAAUAACCUAACGAGGGAGCCACGCUCCCAUCACAUUCAGUCAUAGUGUUUCCUAAAAGUACAUCAGUCAACAGUAACUUGAAUUACUUCUACUUCACCAAUAUUCCUUUCAAUUUGUUUUGCCCUUCAUUUGAAAUUCAAUGGGUUCAUUUGCUUCUGUUUGCAUUCCAUUUUAGGCACUUUCUCCCAUCUUUGUUGGUUUUUUAAAUGUGUAUGACAUUAGCAUGCUUCCAGGUCAAAACUAUACAAAACUGUACACGUGCUCAAGGCAGCGGUACUCACGUCUCUACCCUCCCCCAUCUUCCCCUCCCGAUAGGCAACCGAUUGUAUUUAGUUUCUGGUUUACCCUUCCUGUUAUUUUUGCAAAAUUGAUUUUUAAAAAUGCAGGAUGUUUUCUUAUUUCCUUGUUUCUAACAGAAAAUUUAGUGUACUGUAGACGCUCUUUUGUACUUAUCCUAGAAAUCCAAUCAAUUCACAGAUAUUCUUCUUUUUAAAAAUGCAUAGGUGUAUGAUACUACACUGCUUGUUUGUAUCAUAGUUUACUCAACCAAUUUGCUAUGCCUAAGCAUUUAAAUAGUUUGCAAUAUUUUGCAAUUACAAGUAACGUUGCCAGGAAUAACCUUUCGCAUAUGUGUGUCCGUAUUCUUGGAGGUGCAUCUUCAGGGUCAGUCCCUAGAAGUCGAUUGCCGAGUCAAAGGGUAAAGCUGUACGUAGCGUUGUUAAGAUGUUGUCAUAUCGUCCUUGGAGUGUUUCCUGGCACCAACAACCAGUUCCCUGAUUCUCCAGAUGCCAAGUGGGUGGCCGGCAAUUCACUUCACUUCUGACAUUGCCUGGGCUUAGCACAGACCCCGCAGGUCAAGGACUCAGUCCCACAGGACGGCUCCCAUUUCAGAUGCUAGUCCCAAGUCCAGGGCCACCUUCGGACCAAGUGGCCCUAAAUUAGGAGUCCCCAGGACCCCUAUCAGGUUUGAGAAUUCACUAGAAUGGCUCACGAACACAGGGAAAGACUGUAUUUACAUUUACCAGCUUAUUAUAAAGGAUACAGCUCAGGAACAGCCCCAUGGAAGAGACGCACAGGGCAAGGUCUGGGGGGCGGGGCGCAGAGCUUCAAGCCCUCUCCAGGCCCGGCCCCCAGCGCCUCGCUGUGCUCACUGGCCCAGCUCAUGGAAUCUCCUCGCUCAGAGUCUUUAUAGAGCUUGAGCCCCAGCCCCGCCGCCCUCCCCGCCCCAGAGGUCAGGGGUGAGGCUGAAAGUUCCAGCCUUCCAAUCACUUGCUCUUUCCGGUGGCCAGCCCCAUCCUGAGACUCUGCAGGGGUCCCACUCAGGUCAUCUCAUCAGCAUGAACUCCUCCCUGUGCUCAAAGGGGCUGGUUAGGAAUGGCAAAAGACACCCAAUCACCCAGGCAAUGCCAAGGCUUUUAGGAGCUCUGUGCCAGGAACCUGGAGAAAAACCAAACUGAUUAUUUAUUAUUAUACCACACCCUCUGCAUAGAUUGCUCCACUCUGCAUUCCCACCGACACUGAGCGAAUUGCUCACUUUCUUCUCAGCCUUGUUAAGCUUUUACAUUUUUGCCAAUCUGAUGGCUGGAUAAAAUAUCUCAAUUUCCUUUCAAUUUGCAUUUCUCUUAUUAUGAAUAAAAUUGGGCAUCUCUUUACACGUUUAUAUAGUAAAGGCUGUGUAUAUUUAUAUACAUACAUAUUUAUAUAUGUAUUAAUUGCCUUUAUAGCUCAUGUUCAUUUUUUUUCCUUUUUUCCUUUCUUUUCUUUCUUUCUUUUUUUUGUGAGGAAGAUUGGCCCUGAGCUAACAUCUGUGCCAAUCUUCCUCUAUUUUAUGUGGGAUGCUGCCACAGUGUGGCUUGAUGAGUGGUGCUAGGUCUGUGCCCAGGAUCUGAACCUGCCAAGCUCAGGCCAUCAAAGCAGAGUGUGCAAACUUAACCACUAUGCCACCAGGCUGGUCCCAUCAUAUCCAUUUUUUCUAUAGGAUUUUUGGUCUUUUUUUCCUUCAAUUUUUACAAGUUUUUUAAUAUAUUAGGGAAAUGAAUACUUUGUGAUAUAUGUAGCAAAUAUUUAUUCACAACGUGUCAUUUGUCCUGUGACUUUGCUUAUAGUGUAGUUUUGUUGUCAUGCAAAAGUUUUCAAUUUUUAUAUAGUCAAAUUUAUCUAUUUUUAAAAUUGCAUCUGAAUUCUGUCAUCUUCAGACAGCUUUCCCUCCACUUGGGCUGUAGAGAAAAUCAUUCCUGUCUUCUUCUAGCGUUGUGUACAUCAGUUUUUUAACAUUUAGCUCUCUGAUUCAUUGAGUUUAUUCUCAAGUGUGGUGUGAUGAAUCGAUCAGACUUUAGCUUUAAAAGAAUUUUUAAUGAUGUGGAAAAAAUACACUUAGUAAUGACAACUCCAGAAAAGGAAGAUACAAAAUUGCAUGUACAAUGUGACCUCCACAUACAUACAUGGAACACAUAUUAGAAGGAAAUGCACAGAGAUGUUACAAAUGCUUACAUUUGGUUAGUAGCGCUAUGGAGAAUUUAAAAUUUUUUCUUCAAUAUGCUUUUCAUAAUUUCUAUAAUGAACAUGUAUUACUUUAUAAUCAGAAAGAAAAGCAGGACCUGGUCUUUAACUUAAAAAAAAAAAAGGCUUGGCCCUGGUUUUUUUUUCAGUCUGAAAAGGAGACUUAGAAAAUAUAUACGUAGUUGAAGCAAAAAAGAAUAGGAUCAGCAUACACUUCUCCCUCUUCUCUGAGCGUCUCCGCCUCUCCGCGUGUUUUUGUCCCCCGUUUUCUUACUCCCCUUGUCUUACAUCGCAGUAAAAUACAGGCAGAAAAUGAGCAAGGCUUCCUCAGCGUAUCAUUUUAUUGCUGCAAAAGCAACUUGGGGUUAAUUCUUUCAUAAAACACCACCGCAGGUUAUGACAGGAGCUCGGAGACACCGCGAUGCUCACGGAUCAUGGGAAGGCUUCUGGCCGCACAGUCCCUUCCCCCUCAGCCAACAGUCUGGAACCAGCAACAGGGUGACCUGUCACAGGCCUUCUCUGUGUUGUCCUGGAGGGUGUAACAUUCCAGGCCAUUCAUUUCAGCAGCUGAGUGGUCAGGGGAGAAUCAGUGCUUCCUUUCUUUCACGGCCCUGGUGGUGUGCAGCUGGACAGCUAAUGCCAGAUGGCUCCAUGGGAGGCAGGGCCAACAGAGCUGUACUCCGCCUGCCCCAGGGGAGAGCUGUGCAGCGCGGCUCUCAGGGUUGCCGCGCCCCGCGCUUAGAGGAACGUCCACUGAGUGCUCACGUGUGGGGCAGGCUGUCUCGUGAAGGCGUCAUGCAGCUCUGCACGGCAGGCACAUCACAGCGUCACAUACGUCACACAUGUCACAGGUGCAGGCCAGUAACUCUCCCCGGCUCGGCCAGCCUGGGGGCGGCUGCGCUAGAGUCUGAGCAAAGUCAGAGAUCCAAAGGCUAUUCUGACGCAUCAGGCGAAGCGUCAGUCCCGAGAAACAGUAGCUUAACACGUCUCCACCCUUCAGUGAGUCCCAAGACUUCCCGAUGGGACGAGGCCUCCUCCGAAGACGUUGUCCAGUGGGCUGUCUCAACGCAGGUUCUGCGAGAAAAGGAAACUCCACCAACAACGAUUGGAAUAUCAUCUUCUCAUUUCUUCCCAGGACGAUGGCACAGAACAACUAGUAACACUGAUGUGAAAGACAGCGUUUAAUUCAGUACACAACGGGGUGCCCUGGGGCAUUGGGUCUCUCUCUCUGUCCUUCCCUCUCUCUUGAGAAGGUUGCGAGGGUAACAAGCCUACACUGUCCUUAUCAGCUGAAUCCUCCUAGGUCCAUUAACAACCCCCGGAGGGGGCCUUUUACUCAGGACUUCAUGUUGACAAUAAAACAUAAAUGAUGUAUUGCAUGUCAGUUACUCUGCUGUCGAUCUAAGCAGCCAUUCACAACACAGCACACGACAGACUACACCUGGGAGACUUCUGGUAUUUGCUCUCGUCCUCCCUUGUUGAGGGAAGAUGGAUCCUGAGCUGGGAGGACCGAAGCGGCGUCUGUCUAUCUGUCUUGUUCGUCUUUGUUCGGUGGCUCUCUUUGGAGCUUCCUACUGGAGUGGGAUUUACGCGCUGCGACUUAGGUUAAUACAGUUGCUUAGAGUUCAAACUUCAAUUACAAAAUCUUCCUCAAGGCUAUUGCAUACCUUCAGGCGGGGUUGCUUCCGGUUUGCAGCUCCUGCGGUGAAGGCCUGGAGAAGCUUGAUCCCUGUGCGUGUUCUUUAAAUCCUGAAUAACCAGAACCUCCUCUUCUCCUCGUCUCUCUUUCUUUCUCACUGUCCCUGAAACUUGCUUUUUUUCCCAAAAGAGAUUAACAUUCAGGUUAAGUACCAGCUGAUGCCGGUGUCCCCAUAACUUCACGAGUCCCCUGGUUCUCGGCUGGAGUGACAAUUUGGUUGCUUCAUGCUGGCUCACAUUUAAGCAAAACCAGCAAUGUUAGCUAUCAACAACGGCUUGAUGUCUCAGAAAAUAUCCUCAUGCUGGAUAGUUCAAUGCCAAAGUUUGUUUUUUC